GCCGCGAUCGCAUAACCUGGUAUUGCGCAGGUCUUGAAAACCUGUUUCCGAAAGGAUAUCUCGGUUCAAAUCCGAGUCGCGGCG
RNAcentral lists this transfer RNA (84 nucleotides) under Candidatus Woesearchaeota archaeon. RNAcentral describes it as "tRNA-Ser". It matches the Rfam family "tRNA". Rfam says of the family: Transfer RNA (tRNA) molecules are approximately 80 nucleotides in length. The record is from RNAcentral. Lineage: Archaea; Nanobdellati; Candidatus Woesearchaeota.